UGGCCGUCCUAAAAACUCAAUGACACUUCCGAAAGAAAGAUGAAGUCAACAAAUCGACAAUUUCAUUUAAAACUUAAUCCAGCGAAAAAUUAUUUAACAAUGUGUUUACUAAAUUGCAUUCUCAUAUCAAUUGUAACAUUAACACAUAGUCUACCGAUCUCAACGACAUUGUCCAGUGCCAUAGAAAAACAUCCGAAAUAUCGAGAUACUUUACUAAAUGCUACAGUAGUUCCGUUUGUUACCGAAUGCAGCUCAACGGACAAACUAAAACCGCA
Molecule: long non-coding RNA, 275 nt
Organism: Bradysia coprophila
Lineage: Eukaryota; Metazoa; Arthropoda; Insecta; Diptera; Sciaridae
Source: RefSeq, a predicted model, not a curated record